RNAcentral lists this ribosomal RNA (207 nucleotides) under uncultured bacterium. Its description in RNAcentral is "partial 16S ribosomal RNA". It matches the Rfam family "Bacterial small subunit ribosomal RNA", at positions 568 to 774 of the family's 1533-position model. The record is from RNAcentral.
UGCGUAGGUGGCGCCAUAAGUCGGGUGUGAAAUUUCGGAGCUUAACUCCGAAACUGCAUUCGAUACUGUGGUGCUUGAGGACUGGAGAGGAGACUGGAAUUUACGGUGUAGCAGUGAAAUGCGUAGAGAUCGUAAGGAAGACCAGUGGCGAAGGCGGGUCUCUGGACAGUUCCUGACACUGAGGCACGAAGGCCAGGGGAGCAAACG